CAAACGCGCUCCCAUAAGCUCUGAUCUCCUGAAACUGCUCCUCCCUGUUGCGAUAUGCCAUGCCAUCGGCCAUGUGACUAGCAAUGUAUCAUUUGCUACAGUUGCGGUCUCAUUUACUCACACGAUUAAAGCACUGGAGCCCUUCUUCAAUGCGGGAGCAUCACAAUUCAUACUCGGACAGCCGGUACCCUUGCCAUUGUGGUUGUCUUUAGCUCCGGUUGUGAUCGGUGUCUCAAUGGCGUCACUCACGGAGUUGUCAUUCAAUUGGACUGGUUUUAUUAAUGCCAUGAUAUCAAACAUCUCCUUCACCUACCGGAGCAUCUAUUCCAAGAAAGCGAUGGUUGACAUGGACAGUACGAACUUGUAUGCGUACAUUUCGAUCAUUGCACUGAUUGUGUGCAUACCGCCUGCAAUCAUUCUCGAGGGGCCACAGCUGUUGCAGCAUG
This 446-nucleotide unclassified non-coding RNA is filed under the name Hevea brasiliensis (rubber tree). The record is from RNAcentral. Lineage: Eukaryota; Viridiplantae; Streptophyta; Magnoliopsida; Malpighiales; Euphorbiaceae.